Non-coding RNA from Vicugna pacos (alpaca), 72 nucleotides. Lineage: Eukaryota; Metazoa; Chordata; Mammalia; Artiodactyla; Camelidae. The record is from the annotation of a RefSeq genome assembly.
AAGGGUAUGGCUCAGUGGCAGAGUGUGUGCCUACCAAGCAUAAGGUCCUGGGUUCAAUCCCCAGUACUUUCA